GUGAUAAUUUUAACGGCCGCNGUACACUGACUGUGCUUUUGGCANCAUAAUAACUUGUCUCUUAAUUGGAGACUGGCAUGAAAGGCNUCAUGGGGAUAAGCUGUCUUAUUAGAAUUUGCUAAAAUUUUCUUAGAAGGUGAAAAUACCUUCAAGACAUAAAUAAGACGAGAAGACCCUUAGAAUUAUAACAAUACUUCUAAUUUUAGGAGGGCGUUUUUGUUGGGGCAACAUUAUCAAAGUGAAAACUGAUGAUUAUAAGAUUUUACAUUCCCAUUAUAAUAUAGAUGAACUUAAUUACCUAAGGGAUAACAGCAUAAUUCAUCUAUGAGAGUAUGACCUCGAUGUUGGACUAGGGACUUUUUACAUUAGACGUAUAAAAAGAUUGUUCUGUUCGAACAAAUUAACCCUACGUGAUCUGAGU
This 421-nucleotide ribosomal RNA is filed under the name Mastus abundans. RNAcentral's name for it is "partial 16S ribosomal RNA". It matches the Rfam family "Bacterial large subunit ribosomal RNA", at positions 1910 to 2610 of the family's 2925-position model. The record is from RNAcentral. Lineage: Eukaryota; Metazoa; Mollusca; Gastropoda; Stylommatophora; Enidae.